Molecule: long non-coding RNA, 1655 nt
Organism: Varroa destructor (honeybee mite)
Lineage: Eukaryota; Metazoa; Arthropoda; Arachnida; Mesostigmata; Varroidae
Source: RefSeq, a predicted model, not a curated record
UGCUGCGUAGGAUAUCGAGGCAAAAAUACGUUGAAUCCCUUCAUCGACUAUGAGUCCCAAAAGCACUUUAAAGAUACGGAUAUCACUCAGAUCUCGAAGACAGUCACAUUUGUUGUUGUCUAAGUUGAUGGUCCUAUGGCAAGUACCCUCAAUUUUAAAUGCAACUGUACUAAUCUGCAAUUUGAUGAACGUAAUCUGUUCGUUCGUGCUUAUCAAAAAUUUGCCCCUAACAAGUAGCCCAAACACACUUCGAACGUUGAUUUAUAUCUAUGAAGUAUAUAAUGAGAAGAGAACUUAAGCUGAGCAUACGUUUAUACAUAAAAUAAUGCAAUACGCCUUAUUUACUAUUCAUAAUCCACUAUAAAAGUCUAUGGAAACCAAGCAGAAUGAAAGUUAACGUUUAUCAAGCAACUAGGAUUAUGUACUCCGAGUUGUUGGUAUUGGCUAGGAGAAUCUGUUGUACUUGUUGGUCAUCUGCAGCCCUAGCUUGAGUGGCUCGUACUGACUACGAGACGCGUGUAACUAGACGUAUGCUUAACUCUAAGCAAAUCAUAGAAGAUUGAGAGCUCCGAAUGAGCGGUUCAGAAUCGUCGGUGAUGCUCUUGAUUUUUGAAGCGCUGCUAGUGAUAGCUAUCAUAUGGGUUCUCCAACGCAUGAUUCUGUUUGGACAACUUGUUUACUCGAUGCUGUCUGUGCCCCGUAUUCCUGAACGCUUUCCAUUCUCACUGCCUCUCGACCUCAUUCUCGAUAUGAGGAGGAUGAGCCGUUCGGUGAAGAAUAAGCCGAAUGGCCGAGUUCCCCUCACCAAAUUGAAGGCUUACCCACGAAUGUUCUUCAAGCUAUUGGAUACGAUUUUGCCAAAAUAUUACGAUCAACCAGUCAUCGGAUUCUUUUAUGGCCCUGUGGCCUUUAUCAGCGCAGUUACCCCUGAGGCAGCCGAGGCCAUUCUCUCUAGUCCGAAGUACCUUAACAAAACGUUCCUCUACCAUUUCAUGGAACCCUGGUUAGGCAGAGGUCUUCUCACCAAAGAGCGCGUUAGGAAUACAGCUACGUGAGGAUGAUCCAGAACAUAUUGGCUUUUUCAGCAACUGUGAUCAGUGAUUGACCCUCAAAUGGCGGAAAUGCCUCUAAUGUCUAAUGAACAGUACGGAGUCGAUAAGAGCUUUAUGCAUAUCCUACUGAGCACGCUUCGACGCGGACUUAUCGUUAGAGAAGAAGUUUGAGAUCACGUUGCCACUUUCAUCGUUGGGGGUUUUGACACGACCGGAACGUCACUAGCGUACACCUUGCAUCUAUUGGGGAACAACCCGAAAAUAUUCAAGCGCCCGCAGCUUGAAGUGGAUACGGUGUUACAGAACGAAAAAUAACGCUUCAAAGAAGCAGCUUAAAAUGAUGCCGUACCUCGAUGCAGUUUACAAGGUCUGCCAAUAACCGGACAAUAUCACGUAGUAACCUGGCUUGGGGUCGCUGCGACUAUACCUGGUAGUCCCAUUGAUAGCACGCAACCUCGCACGUCCCAUUCGGGUAGGACCGGUUGAUGUUCCCGCUGGACCCACAGUCUUGUGCAUAUCUACCACUUGCACCGUAACCCGUACGUUUGGGACAGACCCAAUGAGUUUGACCCGGAACGGUUUCUUAAGCCCGCUGCGAAAAGG